RNAcentral lists this transfer RNA (67 nucleotides) under Trissolcus basalis. RNAcentral's name for it is "tRNA-Met". Lineage: Eukaryota; Metazoa; Arthropoda; Insecta; Hymenoptera; Scelionidae. The record is from RNAcentral.
UUAAAGAUAGACUAAAUUUAAGUCUACAGAUUCAUAAUUUGUAAAUAAAGUUAAAAUUUUCUUUAAA